GACGAACGCUGGCGGCGUGCUUAACACAUGCAAGUCGAACGGAAAGGCCCUGCUUCUGUGGGGUGCUCGAGUGGCGAACGGGCGAGUAACACGUGAGUAACCUGCCCUUGACUUUGGGAUAACUUCAGGAAACUGGGGCUAAUACCGGAUAGGAGCUCCUGCUGCAUGGUGGGGGUUGGAAAGUUUCGGCGGUUGGGGAUGGACUCGCGGCUUAUCAGCUUGUUGGUGGGGUAGUGGCUUACCAAGGCUUUGACGGGUAGCCGGCCUGAGAGGGUGACCGGCCACAUUGGGACUGAGAUACGGCCCGGACUCCUACGGGAGGCAGCAGUGGGGAAUAUUGCACAAUGGGCGGAAGCCUGAUGCAGCAACGCCGCGUGCGGGAUGACGGCCUUCGGGUUGUAAACCGCUUUCGCCUGUGACGAAGCGUGAGUGACGGUAAUGGGUAAAGAAGCACCGGCUAACUACGUG
RNAcentral lists this ribosomal RNA (468 nucleotides) under uncultured bacterium. RNAcentral's name for it is "partial 16S ribosomal RNA". It matches the Rfam family "Bacterial small subunit ribosomal RNA", at positions 28 to 507 of the family's 1533-position model. The record is from RNAcentral.